AGCCGACCAGGGAGAGAAGCUGUGCAAGGAGAUCGUGGCCUCAAAGUACCUCGAAUGCUCUGCCAAGACUCAGAAGGGACUCCCCGUUGUUUUUGAGGAG
This 100-nucleotide non-coding RNA is filed under the name Gloeochaete wittrockiana. The record is from RNAcentral. Lineage: Eukaryota; Glaucocystophyceae; Gloeochaetales; Gloeochaetaceae.